Molecule: transfer RNA, 356 nt
Filed under: uncultured Microcystis sp.
Lineage: Bacteria; Bacillati; Cyanobacteriota; Cyanophyceae; Chroococcales; Microcystaceae
Description: partial 16S-23S ribosomal RNA intergenic spacer
Rfam family: tRNA (bases 132-205)
Source: RNAcentral
AAGGGAGACCUAAUUCGGGUAGAAGACGAAAAAUAGUAGUCGAAACCAAGAAUCAAUCCCAAAAGGUCGGAACGAGGUAUGUGGCUUUCAAACUAGGUUCUGGGUUCACAAAAGACCUGAAUCAGGAACAAGGGCUAUUAGCUCAGGUGGUUAGAGCGCACCCCUGAUAAGGGUGAGGUCCCUGGUUCGAGUCCAGGAUGGCCCACCUGCACAGGUGGCAAAAACAAGAGAAACGAGGAAUCAGCACCUUAUCUUACUUACAUAGUAAGAGAGAAUGCUGGCUCUGAGUAAAGAGUCCAGAGGAACCUUGAAAACUGCAUAGAGCUAGGUGAAAAAGCCAAAAAAGAAGACCGCAA